CAAAAGCCACCUCUCUAUCCGCUCCCCGUUUGGUGACGGUGAUAACUUUCCCCGCCAUACAAAAGAUUAAAAAUAUCAAAACAAACCAACCGACGACGUGUCAAAAAUUCAGGGAUAGGGAAAUUGUAAAACGCGUAACCAAACUCCGUGGGCUUGGACCUCGAAUCCGAGUAACCAAACAGCAGGGAAAUCGUAACCCUAGGCAAAGGGGCUCUCGAAACCCUAUAUAAUCAGGUUUCGGGGGUAGCCGUCCUUCGUGCUCUCUCGUUCUUUUCUACCUUUCUCCUAAAAUUAUAUUCUUUGUUUUUCUGUUCUGGUAGCCAUGGCCUCUGCGGAGAUCGAGUACCGUUGCUUCGUCGGAGGGCUUGCGUGGGCCACCGACAAUGAGGCGCUGGAGAGGGCCUUUUCUCAGUAUGGUGAGAUCAUCGAAUCGAAGGUCCGUUUGACGGAGAGAUCGGAUCUGACCCGAUUCGGCCUCGGCCAUCUGGCGUUCUGUUCUUCUCUCUGAUCUGAUUCUGUUUCUCUAUGUGUUACUUGAUCUAUGAUUCUCUGUUACUGUCUAUGAUUCUUAUUAUUACUCUCACAAGAUCGGGUACGUUCAUCUCAAUCUUUCUCUCCCAAAGAUUGAAGAUCGAUCGGUUCCUUUUUUUUGUUAUUGCCUUUUAAUUUUUGUUGUAAUUACUGCGUGGAUUUGUGGCUCUAAUGCGAUCCUGGUCUGUGUUUUCAGAUCAUCAACGACCGUGAGACUGGGAGGUCCAGGGGCUUCGGCUUCGUCACCUUCGGCAACGAGCAGGCUAUGAGGGAUGCAAUCGAAGCCAUGAACGGCCAGAACCUCGACGGCCGCAACAUCACCGUCAAUGAGGCUCAGUCUCGCGGAUCUGGAGGAGGCGGUGGCGGAGGAGGCUACAGCCGCGGAGGAGGCGGUGGUGGAUACGGAGGCAGUGGCGGGUACGGAGGCGGUGGUCGUCGUGAAGGCGGC
This 979-nucleotide long non-coding RNA is filed under the name Malus domestica (apple). RNAcentral's name for it is "long non-coding RNA (MDOM_LNC019123)". The record is from RNAcentral. Lineage: Eukaryota; Viridiplantae; Streptophyta; Magnoliopsida; Rosales; Rosaceae.